RNAcentral lists this unclassified non-coding RNA (397 nucleotides) under fungal sp. RNAcentral's name for it is "partial internal transcribed spacer region". The stretch from base 1 to 46 matches the Rfam family "Eukaryotic small subunit ribosomal RNA", at positions 1786 to 1831 of the family's 1831-position model. Lineage: Eukaryota; Fungi. The record is from RNAcentral.
AAGUCGUAACAAGGUAACCGUAGGUGAACCUGCGGUUGGAUCAUUACCAAAUAUCCUUGGGGGCCUCGGCCCCCUACCCCCACCUUUUGUGCAACGUAACGUUUUGGCGGGGUCUCCCUAAGCUGCCGUGUGUAGACUCUCUUGCCUAAGACUCCUCACCGGGUCUCGGCACUUGUUGGCACACCUCCAGCGCAGGGAGACGUGUGAGGGCUCAUCCCCUCGACCGUCAAAUUACCCCACCUUUUACACCUACCAACCCAACAUCUGACGUUUAUACGCGCGGUGCACACUCACUCCCUGCUCCAGUGCAUGCCUCGGCGUGCGGUGUUGCGUGGUGUGUGUGUUGGACUGUGACACUAACGAAAAACAACUUUUGACAACGGAUCUCUUGGCUCUC